RNAcentral lists this ribosomal RNA (248 nucleotides) under uncultured Actinomycetales bacterium. RNAcentral's name for it is "partial 16S ribosomal RNA". It matches the Rfam family "Bacterial small subunit ribosomal RNA", at positions 85 to 334 of the family's 1533-position model. Lineage: Bacteria; Bacillati; Actinomycetota; Actinomycetes; Actinomycetales. The record is from RNAcentral.
GGGUGCUCGAGUGGCGAACGGGUGAGUAACACGUGAGUAACCUGCCCUUGACUUUGGGAUAACUUCAGGAAACUGGGGCUAAUACCGGAUAGGAGCUCCUGCUGCAUGGUGGGGGUUGGAAAGUUUCGGCGGUUGGGGAUGGACUCGCGGCUUAUCAGCUUGUUGGUGGGGUAGUGGCUUACCAAGGCUUUGACGGGUAGCCGGCCUGAGAGGGUGACCGGCCACAUUGGGACUGAGAUACGACCCAG